UCGCACCAGGCUUCAUUCC
RNAcentral lists this microRNA (19 nucleotides) under Ananas comosus (pineapple). Its description in RNAcentral is "microRNA 166c". Lineage: Eukaryota; Viridiplantae; Streptophyta; Magnoliopsida; Poales; Bromeliaceae. The record is from RNAcentral.